This 306-nucleotide ribosomal RNA is filed under the name Chlorotetraedron incus. Its description in RNAcentral is "large subunit ribosomal RNA". Lineage: Eukaryota; Viridiplantae; Chlorophyta; Chlorophyceae; Sphaeropleales; Neochloridaceae. The record is from RNAcentral.
UAUUCACAUAAGUAGUCAAACGUCCUAUAGAGUUAAAGAAAAGUCGAUAGACUUUUUGAAUCUUUUUGGAGUGAACAUGCUCGCAUGAGUAGCCAAAGUAUAAAAAGAAAAACUUUUAACUUUGUGGUAAACAACUAGAAUUGGGUUAGAGCUCUUGUUCUUUCGGACAGGACUUUACCUAGUCCUAUACCAAUUGUUUAAAAUGUUUAAAAACUUUUAAUACGACCGAAUACCCAAGGUUAUCUGCGAAACAACGGCGCAGAGUGACACGGUCUCUAAGAUAAGUUUAUAGCUUAUUGAAGGGUA